RNAcentral lists this small RNA (312 nucleotides) under Pan troglodytes (chimpanzee). Its description in RNAcentral is "processed transcript". The record is from RNAcentral. Lineage: Eukaryota; Metazoa; Chordata; Mammalia; Primates; Hominidae.
GUGACUUGGGAGAGGGCCACUUUGGGAAGGUUGAGCUCUGCAGGUAUGACCCUGAAGGGGACAAUACAGGGGAGCAGGUGGCUGUUAAAUCUCUGAAGCCUGAGAGUGGAGGUAACCACAUAGCUGAUCUGAAAAAGGAAAUCGAGAUCUUAAGGAACCUCUAUCAUGAGAACAUUGUGAAGUACAAAGGAAUCUGCACAGAAGACGGUAUGUUAUGCAAGGCUGGGGUCCGGUUUAAAGAUUUGGUGACUGUCUAGGGUCAUAAAGGCCAGUGCAAAACAGGCACUCCGUGGCCUUAUCUGGGCGUGACAU